Molecule: ribosomal RNA, 432 nt
Filed under: uncultured Rickettsiales bacterium
Lineage: Bacteria; Pseudomonadati; Pseudomonadota; Alphaproteobacteria; Rickettsiales
Description: bacterial SSU rRNA
Rfam family: Bacterial small subunit ribosomal RNA
Source: RNAcentral
AACGAACGCUGGCGGUAUGCUUAACACAUGCAAGUCGAACGUUUUCUUCGGAAGACGUGGCAGACGGGUGCGUACAACAUAGGAACAUACCCUAAAGUGGGGAAUAACGCUCGGAAACGGGUGCUAAUACCCCAUACGCCCUACGGGGGAAAGCUUUAUGCGCUUUAGGAGUGGCCUAUGUCAGAUUAGGUAGUUGGUGUGGUAAAGGCGCACCAAGCCGAUGAUCUGUAGCUGAUUUGAGAGGAUGAUCAGCCACACUGGGACUGAGACACGGCCCAGACUCCUACGGGAGGCAGCAGUGGGGAAUAUUGGACAAUGGGGGAAACCCUGAUCCAGCAAUACCGCGUGAGUGAUGAAGGCCUUCGGGUUGUAAAGCUCUUUUUUUAGUGAGGAUGAUGACAGUAGCUAAAGAAUAAGCCCCGGCUAACUUCG